CCUACGGGGGGCUGCAGUGGGGAAUAUUGGACAAUGGGGGCAACCCUGAUCCAGCCAUGCCGCGUGUGUGAAGAAGGCCCUCGGGUUGUAAAGCACUUUCAGUGAGGAAGAACGCCUGGUGGUUAAUACCCAUCAGGAAAGACAUCACUCACAGAAGAAGCACCGGCUAACUCCGUGCCAGCAGCCGCGGUAAUACGGAGGGUGCGAGCGUUAAUCGGAAUUACUGGGCGUAAAGCGCGCGUAGGUGGCUUGAUAAGCCGGUUGUGAAAGCCCCGGGCUCAACCUGGGAACGGCAUCCGGAACUGUCAAGCUAGAGUGCAGGAGAGGAAGGUAGAAUUCCCGGUGUAGCGGUGAAAUGCGUAGAGAUCGGGAGGAAUACCAGUGGCGAAGGUGGCCUUCUGGACUGACACUGACACUGAGGUGCGAAAGCGUGGGUAGCAAACAGGAUUAGAUACCCGAGUAGUC
Molecule: ribosomal RNA, 465 nt
Filed under: Vreelandella stevensii
Lineage: Bacteria; Pseudomonadati; Pseudomonadota; Gammaproteobacteria; Oceanospirillales; Halomonadaceae
Description: partial 16S ribosomal RNA
Rfam family: Bacterial small subunit ribosomal RNA
Source: RNAcentral